AUACGGGGGGAGCGAGCGUUGUCCGGAAUCACUGGGCGUAAAGAGCGUGUAGGCGGGAUUGUAAGUCAGAGGUGAAAUGUCGGGGCUCAACCCCGAACCUGCCUUUGAUACUGCAGUUCUUGAGUACGGUAGAGGGAAGCGGAACUCCAGGUGUAGCGGUGGAAUGCGUAGAUAUCUGGAAGAACACCGGUGGCGAAGGCGGCUUCCUGGCCCGGUACUGACGCUGAGACGCGAAAGCGUGGGGAGCAAACAGGAGUAGAAACCCUAGUAGUCC
RNAcentral lists this ribosomal RNA (274 nucleotides) under uncultured bacterium. RNAcentral describes it as "partial 16S ribosomal RNA". It matches the Rfam family "Bacterial small subunit ribosomal RNA", at positions 523 to 796 of the family's 1533-position model. The record is from RNAcentral.